GGGGGUGUAGCUCAGGGGUAGAGCAUUUGCCUAUCAUGCAUGAGGCCCUGGGUUCCACCCCUAGCACUGCCA
This 72-nucleotide transfer RNA is filed under the name Ictidomys tridecemlineatus (thirteen-lined ground squirrel). RNAcentral's name for it is "Spermophilus tridecemlineatus (thirteen-lined ground squirrel) tRNA". It matches the Rfam family "tRNA". Rfam says of the family: Transfer RNA (tRNA) molecules are approximately 80 nucleotides in length. The record is from Rfam by way of RNAcentral. Lineage: Eukaryota; Metazoa; Chordata; Mammalia; Rodentia; Sciuridae.